Molecule: long non-coding RNA, 393 nt
Filed under: Nicotiana benthamiana
Lineage: Eukaryota; Viridiplantae; Streptophyta; Magnoliopsida; Solanales; Solanaceae
Description: long non-coding RNA (NBEN_LNC023202)
Source: RNAcentral
CUCUCUCUUUCUUUGACCUAAUUGGGCAUAAUGCCAAUGCUUCUGAGUACUUAGCUGCAGCCCCGGAAAUAUCUCCGGAUGAAAACAGGGAAUUUCCUUCUAGUUUUACCACCAGUGCUGCUGCCUGUUUGAUAUGAAGGUCCUCUUUAGGCAUAUUUUUCUCCCAUUUUAUUCUCUAAUAUUUCCGGAUGAAAACAGGGAAUUUCCUUCUAGUUUUACCACCAGUGCUGCUGCCUGUUUGAUAUGAAGGUCCUCUUUAGGCAUAUUUUUCUCCCAUUUUAUUCUCUGUUUGGAAUUCAGUAGUUCUUCAACUUCUUCUUUUACAUGGCUAUUGAUUUGAGUACGACCUGUCCCUUGUGAUUCAAUACAUUCCUGAAGAACAUUGACUAUAGA